Molecule: small RNA, 23 nt
Filed under: Arabidopsis thaliana (thale cress)
Lineage: Eukaryota; Viridiplantae; Streptophyta; Magnoliopsida; Brassicales; Brassicaceae
Description: Ath_wt_11682
Source: RNAcentral
GACCUAUACCCGGCCGUCGGGGC